Molecule: long non-coding RNA, 2920 nt
Organism: Lepidothrix coronata (blue-crowned manakin)
Lineage: Eukaryota; Metazoa; Chordata; Aves; Passeriformes; Pipridae
Exons: 3
Source: RefSeq, a predicted model, not a curated record
GAAUGGCGUGAGCCGUGUGCCGUGAGCCGUGUGCCCUGUGCCCUGCCCUCACGGCUCUGUGAGGGGGCACCCGGCUGAGGGAAUGGCGUGAGCCGUGUGCCGUGUGCCGUGUGCCGUGUGCCCUGUGCCCUGCCCUCACGGCUCUGUGAGGGGGCACCCGACUGAGGGAAUGGUGUGAGCAUUCCUCACGGCUCCGUGAGGGGGUGUCUGACUGAGGGAAUGGCCUGUGCCAUUAUCCCUUCUCUCAUGGCUCCAUGAAGGACCAGCUGCCUCAGGGAAUGGCCUGUGCCAUCGUCCCUUCCCUCCCGGCUCCAUGAGGGGUUAUCUGACUGAGGGAAUGGCCUGUGCCAUCGUCCCUUCCCUCCCAGCUCCAUGAGGGGGUAUCUGACUGAAGGAAUGGCCUGUGCCAUCGUCCCUUCCCUCCCGGCUCCGUGAGGGGGUAUCUGAAGGAAUGGCCUGUGCCAUCGUCCCUUCCCUCACGGCUCCAUGAGGGGUUAUCUGACUGAAGGAAUGGCCUGUGCCAUCGUCCCUUUCCCUCCCAGCUCCAUGAGGGGGUAUCUGACUGAAGGAAUGGCCUGUGCCAUCGUCCCUUCCCUCCCGGCUCCAUGAGGGGGUGCCUGCCUGAGGGAACACCAUCUCCCCUUCCCUCCCGUUUCAGCGAAGGACUCCCUGCCCGAGGGAAUGUUGCGCUCUUAAGCAAGAUGAAAAACGCUGUUGCCCUCGGCACAUCAGCUCCAGGACGCUGGGCUGCCACUCCCGUCCACUGCUGAUUCCCAGUAUUGCCUGCUUCAUUCCCAACGUUUUCUCCAGCGCCCUGGGUUUUCCUGGCAAGCGCCUCAUCCAAGUCAUGACCAAUCCUUGGACCCUGCUUCGUUCCCUCGUUUCACAAACUGCUGCCCACGGUGACAGAACAGCAGGAAGCAGAAAAUUAAAUGGGGUACCUGCGAAAAUGAAGAUGGAACUUCACCUCUCCUCCGUAUGUAAAAGUUGUUGGGGGUCAGUUCUGUCCUCCUCAGUGGCAGGGACAAGAGGAAUGUGGUCCCUCGCCCUGCCCAGCCCCUGCCCUGGGCUGGUUCAGUUCUGGAUAAAGGGCUGGACAAUCCCUGAGCCCUGACAUCGGGGUGGGAUGAGCUGAUGGGAGCAGGUGAGAGCACUGAGUUCUCAGGGGCAUUUGCUCUGGGUGGGACUCUCACCUGAGCCACGCAGGUGGGUUUUCCCCCUCAGAAGCAGCACUGGGUGCUGAUGCCCACCCGGGGUUGGAGGUGCCACCCUUUGCACAUCCCAGUUUGAUUUCCCUGCGACACUGAUUAAACCCGGGGCUGGGGAAGAGUCGUGUGCAAGAAUUUUAACCAGCUCCUGCUUCUUAAUAUUCAACUUCCUCUUUGGUUUUAAUUAUUUUGUCCCUGCGUUUUCCCUUUCAAUUUACUAAAACUCCAGAAAUGUAAUUAGGGAGAGGCUGAACCCGGAGAAAGCUGCCAGCGUUUCUACAUCAUGAUUAAAUGUAUCAGCCGUGCCUUCAGUGAGAGGCUGAGAAACAGGAGGCUCAUAAUUGCCUCCCUGUUAUCCAGGAAAGAAUCUGCGACACGUAGGGAUACAGAGUUAUUGAAAAUGCAGCACUAAUUAAAAUCUCAUAUAGGCUCCCCAGGAUUGAGAGGAUGAAAACAAGUUAUUUCAUUAUUUCCCGGAUUUGCCAUCUUUGUUACAAAACCAAACAAACCCUUUCUAAACAAAGCCCAUCUCAAUCACUGGGGAGACUUAAUGAGGCUCUUAGAGAUGCAACAGUAACAAACACAUCGCAAGGUGCUGAUUCCCCUCUCCCGGUACCAGGGAGACCCCCAGAACUCAUUUUCUGGCUGUAAAGAGAAGGGAAUGUUGUGGCAGAGCCACAAACUGGAACAGAACCAUGGCUGGGUUUGAGGGGCCGGUUUGUUUUAAAUUGGAGCCAUUAAGGAUCCUUGAUAUUCCAGGCUUUUGUGGUUUAAUUGUUAAAUCACAGCCAGCACGCCAAGUGCUGACAGGGUUGGUGAGGAGAGGGAGAGCUGCUGAGAUCCUGGGUGCUCCCAACCGUGGCAGUCGGAGCAUCCUCCAGGGAAAGGAGCCUGGUCUGAGCUUUGCUUUUCCAACCCUUUUGCUCCAAAUUUAAUUUGCAACAGAAUGGCAAGUUCUGAGCCAGACACUGAGUGGGGCAGCCCCACGGCCCCUUCCCUGGCAAUGGAACCUCCAGUGCUGGGGGGGCAGGAGGGUGACAAAUAUUGCCCACCCGUGAGAACUUGUACAAUGUAGAGGGCUCAGGCAGCUCAUUCACACACACAAAACCAAAGCUGGGCAGCUGGCUGCUCCCAGUCUCAAGGCAGAAAUCCUGAAGGGUCUAGGAAGGAUACAGGAAAGAGGUGGGGUUCACUGAGCUGGGUUUUACCUCAGGUGGGUUUCACUUCCCCGGUGAGGGGCUGGGAUGGAUUUCCCAGGGAAGCUGGGGCUGCCCCGGCCCUGGAAGUGUCCAAGGCCAGGAUGGAGCAACCUGGGAUAGCAAAAGGUGUCCCUGCCCGUGGCAGGGGUGGCACUGGACAGGCUUUAAGGUCCCUUUCCACCUGGUCUAAAAUUACAGGUACCUCCAUUUUUAGGUCCUUUCUGACCCAAACAUUCCCUGGAGUGUUCCAGUUCCAGGCUGUGCCUGUGCUCAGAGCUGUCCCAGCCUGGGCACUCCAUCCAUCAGCUCCUUCCUGCCUGGCAUCUGGAUCCAGUGGCACCUGUGUCCCUCCAGAUAUAAAGGAUGAACUUGCUCUGGCACAGCCACCACAUCCAGCUCUAAAUUCAGUACAAAUCAGCACUUCCAUGAGAAAAUUCCUGCUGGUGGUCACAGAAUCCCAGAAUUACUGGGGUUGGAAAAGCCCUCCAAGAUGAUCCAGCCCACCCUGUGCCC